UGGAUUAGGCAUGCAAGUCGAGCGAGAACCAGUCUUCGGAUUGGGGACAGCGGCGAACGGGGUAGGAUCACCUCGGUGACGUACCCCCCGAACGGGGAUAGCGGCGGGAAACUGCCGGUAAUACCCGAUAAUCUGCUUUUGUUUUACGAUAGGAGCAGCAAAGGUGUGAUUCCGUCGGGGGAGCGGCUGAGGUCGUAUUAGCUAGUUGGUAAGGUAACGGCUUACCAAGGCGAUGAUGCGUAGGGGGUGUGAGAGCAUGGCCCCCACCACUGGCACUGAGACACUGGCCAGACACCUACGGGUGGCUGCAGUCGAGAAUCUUCGGCAAUGGGCGCAAGCCUGACCGAGCGACGCCGCGUGCGGGAUGAAGGUCUUCGGAUUGUAAACCGCUGUCGGAGGGGAUGAAGUGCCGUCAAGUAAUUCAUAAUCUUGGCGGUUUGACAGAGCCUCGGAGGAAGCACGGGCUAAGUUCGUGCCAGCAGCCGCGGUAG
RNAcentral lists this ribosomal RNA (491 nucleotides) under uncultured bacterium. RNAcentral describes it as "bacterial SSU rRNA". It matches the Rfam family "Bacterial small subunit ribosomal RNA", at positions 45 to 523 of the family's 1533-position model. The record is from RNAcentral.